This 1009-nucleotide long non-coding RNA is filed under the name Phasianus colchicus (ring-necked pheasant). RNAcentral's name for it is "lncRNA (ENSPCLG00000020923.1)". The record is from RNAcentral. Lineage: Eukaryota; Metazoa; Chordata; Aves; Galliformes; Phasianidae.
GACAGAUGUGUUUAAAAACCUUUUGGAUGUGGUGCUCAGGGACAUGAUUUAGCGGAGGGUUGUUAGAUUUAAGGUAGUACAGUUAGGUUGUGGUUGGACUUGAUGAUCUUGAAGGUCUUUUCCAAUCUGAGCAAUUCUAUGACUUUUCAUACACAGAUGGAGCCAUGAACCCUUUUUCACUACUAUCUUCACACCUGCCUCUUGUAAGAGGGUGAGGGAAUCCCAAAUUAGUCCUGCUGCCCAUAACUUAACAGCUCCCAAACUCAUACCCUAAUCUUCAAACAAAAUUAUGACAGAGAGCUUACUCAUUCUUUCUCUCGCAGUCUGAUUUAUCAAGGAAUUUGCUCAAGGGGAGCAUCUAGUCUAUCAAGGAAAUGAGUUAAACCUGUGCUCACAUCACACAAUCAAGGCAGAAGCCCAGCUGAGUUGGCACAGGUAAAAGUGAUAAAGAAGAAGUUGGUAAAAAGAGUGAAGAUACUUUAAGUGCUCUUUAGGUUGGGGUAAAAGUAUAGCAAGAAGUAUGGUAAAAUAUUUUUUAAAAUAAUUUUGUUCUUUUCUCUGUGUUCCUUGUUUUCUUUUAUGUAGUUAAUGCAGUGUAUUUGAGGUAACUGCAGAUCAUACAGUAGGUUGGUGUUUAGGGAAUUAACCUGGACCACAAAAGCAGUAGAUAAACUGGGGGAAGGAGUCCUUACACAGAAAAGAGUUUUAAAAUCACAGUGGUUUGAAGUGAUCAAUCUCUGUCAUGUUUCUGGAUGGGCUGAAUCAGCUGCUUCAGUAGAGAGUAAGCAGUUUAAGGAAGGAAAGAGGACCGUUCUCUCUGUCUCCGUCUGUGCAUCUGAAGAUCCAUAGCAGACUCUGCAAUUAUUUGCUGAUGGCCACACAAGCUGCUGCAGAGAAAACUAACUCUGUUCCAGGCAGAAUCACUACAGGAUCACAUCUUUUUAAAAGGCAUCUAUUUUCUGUGCUGUUAAUGCUGGUGUAACUUGCAUAGAGACCUGCUUUGCUGCAG